Molecule: ribosomal RNA, 446 nt
Filed under: uncultured bacterium
Lineage: Bacteria
Description: bacterial SSU rRNA
Rfam family: Bacterial small subunit ribosomal RNA
Source: RNAcentral
ACCAGACUCCUACGGGAGGCAGCAGUGGGGGAUAUUGCACAAUGGGGGAAACCCUGAUGCAGCGACGCCGCGUGGGUGAAGAAGUAUUUCGGUAUGUAAAGCCCUAUCAGCAGGGAAGAAAGAAGACGGUACCUGACUAAGAAGCCCCGGCUAACUACGUGCCAGCAGCCGCGGUAAUACGUAGGGGGCAAGCGUUAUCCGGAUUUACUGGGUGUAAAGGGGGCGCAGACGGCGAUGCAAGCCAGGAGUGAAAGCCCGGGGCCCAACCCCGGGACUGCUCUUGGAACUGCGUGGCUGGAGUGCAGGAGGGGCAGGCGGAAUUCCUGGUGUAGCGGUGAAAUGCGUAGAUAUCAGGAGGAACACCGGUGGCGAAGGCGGCCUGCUGGACUGCAACUGACGUUGAGGCCCGAAAGCGUGGGGAGCAAACAGGAUUAGAUACCCCCGUA